This 1670-nucleotide unclassified non-coding RNA is filed under the name Camponotus floridanus (Florida carpenter ant). RNAcentral's name for it is "uncharacterized LOC105258533, transcript variant X1". Lineage: Eukaryota; Metazoa; Arthropoda; Insecta; Hymenoptera; Formicidae. The record is from RNAcentral.
AAGAGAUGCCCUCCGGUCAGGCCGAGAAAUGACUACUACCUACCUGCCUACUAGCCUCGAUCCUUCGUCAGUGAACGCUAAGAUGUCGUUCGGCAAGGUAGCUAACUGCUUGCUUAUCGCUUUCGUAGCUCUAGCUAAUGGAAUGCCGCAGAACCAGAUUACGGCAACUACAGAAUCACCUGAAUCACUCCCGUUUCUCCAAUUUACUAACGGAGGAAUCCGGGUGAACUUUGGAGGCUAUCAUGCUCAAGCUGGACUCGGCGGGGUUCUCGGAGAAGGGACAGGGGGUGGACUUCACGCGAGCGCGGGAACUCCGUGGGGUGCGUUCGCGGGUGCGGGAUUAGGUGGCCAAUUAGGCAGAGAAAAUCUCGGCGGCGGUUUGUACGCUCGUGCUGGACUCGGUCGUGGAAGACCGGAAGCUGCGGCCGGUCUCGGUGGAAGAUUGGAUGGACGAUCGUUGAACCCGAUCUCCGGUGGUCUUUACGCAGGCGCGACACCGGGUGGUCCAGGAGUCGGUGUGCAACUUGGCGGAGGAAUCGACGGAGCUGCAGCCGGUAGCACGGUCGACGAAGCUAAGGCGGGUGCAUCCGGUGCGGGAGAGGCUAAUGCAACAGCGGAUGCAGCUACAAGCGUAACGAAGCCGAGCAAAGGCCACACGAACAUACAGAUCAUACGUUCGAGAGCUCAGAAGGAGAGAGACGAACAGAAAGAGAAGGUGGUGGCGCUUGCAGCUGCCGCGUUGCCAACUAACGUGUCUGCAGAUGGAAAGGUCGAGUCGCCAAACAAAGAGAUACGUGCAGUCAAAGUCGUUGCUGUGCAACCUCCUGCAGCGGAAGUUGGUGUAGUCGGAUCGAUUAGUCUGUUUGGAGCGGCGCCAGUCGUGAAAUCCGUCGAAAAAGACAUUGUGGUCUCUGCACCUGUUGCACCUGUACAAGACACAAUUAAGACGGUUACAACAGGAGAAAGAGGUUCUGGACCGUUCCUAGGAAAGUAGUCUACGUCGCUCCACCGGCGACAGCUGAUUCUCAAGGCUCACCUUCGGAUAUGGUCGGUGAACUCUUCGCCAAUUCGGUGGGAGAUAGUGGCGGUACAGUUGCUGUGAGCAAAGUUUAUAGCGGAUCCUUAUUCGAUGACAUCUUCAACAUUCCAAUUUCUACGCUGUCCGCUGUGAAUCAAUUACUGAGAAACAACGUCGGCUGAGAUUUCGCAUUCUUAUAUAAGUUUAUAUUUGAAAAUAGUCGUGCAAUAUAUGAAAUUCACGAGCGAGGAUCGUGAGCCACGUUUUUUUCGCAAGGUCCUCCGAAUAUAUUUAGCGUUCUCGUAUAUUCAGCCACUUUCGUGUUUAUUCCAGCCUAUUUACGAAUGACAGGCACAUACGUGAUAUCCAUCCUGCGAUUUCCUGCACGUGAUCAGAUUGUAAUUCCGUCUAGUAAUUUAACAUACGAUAGUAUUUCUUUGUUUCAAGCUGCGAGUCAUUUUAAUAAGACACAUUAAUAAAUUUUUAUACGAGAAAAGGAAUUUGCCUGACACGAAUUAUUUAUGUUCUCCUGAAUUUAAUUUUAUCAUUUUACGACUUAUAUUACUCAUGCGUAUAUAUGAUAUGUGUAAACAUCGUACGAUACAAAAUUCAAGGAUAUUUCAUCAAGAAUGAAUAUUUACUUUGCUUCUUA